Molecule: long non-coding RNA, 853 nt
Filed under: Citrus x clementina
Lineage: Eukaryota; Viridiplantae; Streptophyta; Magnoliopsida; Sapindales; Rutaceae
Description: Citrus clementina (C. clementina) long non-coding RNA (CCLE_LNC006673)
Source: RNAcentral
CGGCCCAAGCCCGUACACUUAGCUAACAAAGGCCCUGGACAUGGGCUUGAAAAAGCCCGGCCCAGGCCCGCUGUUUGCCAUCCCUAAGUAUAACAUAUGUAACAUCAAGGGUGUUUUAAGACUUUUUUCAAAUAUAAGGAUUAAACAUGCAUUUAUCCUUAAUGGUAAAACAAUUAUACCUUAAACAGUAAUUUUUUAAAACGUUUUAUCUUUAACCAUUCACCUAAUUUUGACCAGAAAAUUAAUUAACUCUGUAUUAGGCAACCACAAUAUUAGUUUAGUAAAGAUUGUUGACAAAAUAAACCCCAAUCAAUUAAUGUUCAGCCUCCGUCCCCGUCUUUGAGCUUAUAUAUUAUAAGUCAAUGUAGGAUUAUCUCAUUCAAUCUUCCUUUAUGUGCAAAUAAAUCUUUUUGUCUGAUUCUUAUCACAUAAUCUACUCAUGAAGGAAUUUAAAUUUGAUAUAUCAUAUAGAAAUCGGUGAACCAAUACUCUUUUUUUCUUGUUUUUCAUAAUUAAUUUCACGCUGAAUAACGUUGCAAUGCUGAAUGUUGCAAAUUGUACGUUCAGACUCUCGGUGCGCCAAGGAAUUAAACUAUAUAAUGUCGUUGUUUCGUUAAGGUGAGACACAUAAGAUAUGUGGUUGGUAGAGAUGGCCAAUGGACUGUAUCGGUAAGGUCCAUACGUGUUCGUAUCCGUGUCAUGCCGCAUCUAAAUUUUUUUUCUUAAGCCGUGCCGUCUGUGGGCCGUGCUGUGCCUAAGAAAAAAAAUCUAAUAUAUUUUUUUUAAGAGCGCAUGCUAAGUUGUUGGUGUAUUUUGUUCAAGUCUAUGUACUUUUCUUAGGUUUAUACCUUUA